RNAcentral lists this unclassified non-coding RNA (250 nucleotides) under plant metagenome. RNAcentral describes it as "partial contains small subunit ribosomal RNA, internal transcribed spacer 1, and 5.8S ribosomal RNA". The record is from RNAcentral.
GUAGGUGAACCUGCGGAAGGAUCAUUAAUGAAUCGCUCGAAGCGGGGGUUGCUGCUGGUCCCGUGAGGGACAUCGUGCGCCGCCCCUAUCUUCUGUUUCAUUCAUCUACCCCUAUCUGUGCACCCUAUGUGGGCUGAGAUAUCUCAGCUCUCGCUUUCUAUACACACGCAUGUAAAUCUUCAAUGAAUGAAUCAUUCGAGUUUUCGCUCGAUAUAAUCUAAUACAACUUUCAACAACGGAUCUCUUGGCU